UACGAAGGGGGCUAGCGUUGCUCGGAAUCACUGGGCGUAAAGCGCACGUAGGCGGAUACUUAAGUCAGGGGUGAAAUCCCGGGGCUCAACCCCGGAACUGCCUUUGAUACUGGGUAUCUCGAGUCCGGAAGAGGUGAGUGGAAUUCCGAGUGUAGAGGUGAAAUUCGUAGAUAUUCGGAGGAACACCAGUGGCGAAGGCGGCUCACUGGUCCGGUACUGACGCUGAGGUGCGAAAGCGUGGGGAGCAAACAGG
This 253-nucleotide ribosomal RNA is filed under the name uncultured bacterium. Its description in RNAcentral is "partial 16S ribosomal RNA". It matches the Rfam family "Bacterial small subunit ribosomal RNA", at positions 524 to 776 of the family's 1533-position model. The record is from RNAcentral.